RNAcentral lists this transfer RNA (72 nucleotides) under Alligator mississippiensis (American alligator). It matches the Rfam family "tRNA". Rfam says of the family: Transfer RNA (tRNA) molecules are approximately 80 nucleotides in length. Lineage: Eukaryota; Metazoa; Chordata; Crocodylia; Alligatoridae. The record is from Rfam by way of RNAcentral.
GCCAUGAUCGUAUAGUGGUUAGUACUCUGCGUUGUGGCUGCAGCAACCUAGGUUCAAAUCUGACUAAUGGCA